Molecule: ribosomal RNA, 492 nt
Filed under: uncultured bacterium
Lineage: Bacteria
Description: partial 16S ribosomal RNA
Rfam family: Bacterial small subunit ribosomal RNA
Source: RNAcentral
AGUGAACGCUGGCGGUAGGCCUAACACAUGCAAGUCGAACGGCAGCACAGUAAGAGCUUGCUCUUACGGGUGGCGAGUGGCGGACGGGUGAGGAAUACAUCGGAAUCUACUUUUUCGUGGGGGAUAACGUAGGGAAACUUACGCUAAUACCGCAUACGACCUACGGGUGAAAGCAGGUGAUCUUCGGACCUUUCGCGAUUGAAUGAGCCGAUGUCGGAUUAGCUAGUUGGCGGGGUAAAGGCCCACCAAGGCGACGAUCCGUAGCUGGUCUGAGAGGAUGAUCAGCCACACUGGAAAUGAGAAACGGUCCAGACUCCUACGGGAGGCAGCAGUGGGGAAUAUUGGACAAAGGGCGCAAGCCUGAUCCAGCCAUACCGCGUGGGUGAAGAAGGCCUUCGGGUUGUAAAGCCCUUUUGUUGGGAAAGAAAAGCAGCAGGUUAAUAACCCGCUGUUCUGACGGUACCCAAAGAAUAAGCACCGGCUAACUUCGUG